RNAcentral lists this ribosomal RNA (41 nucleotides) under Calicophoron daubneyi. Its description in RNAcentral is "partial 16S ribosomal RNA". Lineage: Eukaryota; Metazoa; Platyhelminthes; Trematoda; Plagiorchiida; Paramphistomidae. The record is from RNAcentral.
GUUGAGGGACGGUUUGUUGAUUUUCUUGGAAUAGGGUGUGG